RNAcentral lists this ribosomal RNA (507 nucleotides) under uncultured beta proteobacterium. RNAcentral describes it as "bacterial SSU rRNA". It matches the Rfam family "Bacterial small subunit ribosomal RNA", at positions 85 to 588 of the family's 1533-position model. The record is from RNAcentral. Lineage: Bacteria; Pseudomonadati; Pseudomonadota; Betaproteobacteria.
CCCCUUGAGAGUGGCGAACGGGUGAGUAAUAUAUCGGAACGUGCCCAGUCGUGGGGGAUAACGUAGUGAAAAUUACGCUAAUACCGCAUACGAUCUAAGGAUGAAAGCGGGGGAUCGCAAGACCUCGCGCGACUGGAGCGGCCGAUAUCAGAUUAGGUAGUUGGUAGGGUAAAGGCCUACCAAGCCAACGAUCUGUAGCUGGUCUGAGAGGACGACCAGCCACACUGGAACUGAGACACGGUCCAGACUCCUACGGGAGGCAGCAGUGGGGAAUUUUGGACAAUGGGCGAAAGCCUGAUCCAGCCAUUCCGCGUGCAGGAUGAAGGCCCUCGGGUUGUAAACUGCUUUUGUACAGAACGAAAAGGUCUCUAUUAAUACUAGGGGCUCAUGACGGUACUGUAAGAAUAAGCACCGGCUAACUACGUGCCAGCAGCCGCGGUAAUACGUAGGGUGCAAGCGUCAAUCGGAAUUACUGGGCGUAAAGCGUGCGCAGGCGGUUAUAUAAGU